Long non-coding RNA from Pan troglodytes (chimpanzee), 1060 nucleotides. RefSeq lists it as uncharacterized. The record is from RefSeq and is a predicted model, not a curated record. Lineage: Eukaryota; Metazoa; Chordata; Mammalia; Primates; Hominidae. The transcript has 2 exons.
UCCAACUUUUCCCCCAGCGGCUCCUGCUGCAUUUCUGAGGCCCUUUCCCCAGAGACCUGGCAGGCCGAGCAGGGAAACAUUCGCUGGCAGGAACCGGGGGAGCCCGGCCCGCGAGGCCUCGCGCCUGCCCGGGGCCGGCGGCGGUGGGUGUGCCCGGGCGGCGGCGUGGCCCUGCGUCCACUGCUGUGUGUGCCCUUGUCUCACACGCCGUGUGUGUCCGCGCCCUUUUGUGGCGUGGCAGCUUAUGUGCGUGCAGACAGACGCCCUGUAUGUGUGCCUCCCUCCACGACAGCCUCCGUGCGCGCGCGCCUGCGUGUGUGGCAGGACAUGGCCUGUGCCUUUCAGCUCUGUGCGAGGCUAUUUCUGGAUGCUGGCUGCAUCCAGAUGUUGGCUGCCAGGGAUCUGGGGGGCAGCCUUGUGGCUUCUGGUCGACUUGGGAUCUGCUCAUGUCGGGCUGUGUGGCCCUGGGAAUGCCAUUUCCUCCCUGGAGCUCUGUCCUCAUCUGUGACAUGAGGGUGCUGCUGCCUUCCCUCCAACCUCUGCCUCUGGAAAUGCUGGCAAGGCACAGAGUGCUGCCCGCUUCACCAGGGCUUUGGGCCAGGGCCCUGCCUCUUCCACCCUGCCUGGUGUGGGGAGGCUUUGGCCACCCUGCUAGCUGUCUCCACGUGUGUCCUGUGUUCCCCAGGCCCCAGCCCUCCUCUUUCUUAGUGAGGGGAGCCCCAUUCUGGCACCUCCAAUUCUCAUCUCUGUCUUUUGCAGCUAACAGCUCCCCAUGACAGUGUCAGGACAAUCCUGGUGACCCAGCGUCCUGCCCCUCACCUCGGGAAGCUUCUGAGGACUUGUGAGGCAGGAACGGGCCUCAGCUACUGCUCUGAACAGGUGUUUGGGGGAUUCCUGCCAAUCACUGCAUUCUGGGGUCUGGGUGUCACCGGAGUGAAGAGAAGUGAAUAGUUAACAAAAAGUCCAUCUGCAUUUCUAAACAAAUUUUUGGGAAUAUUAAAUCAAAUGGCAGCGGGCAGUGGGAUGUGUAAAUAAAACCCCCGUGGAAGUGCUGCGUGGA